GUCUUCUUAAUAACAAAAUACAUGCAUAACAACGAUGAAUACUCGGUCUCUAGGAGUCUCCGUGAUGAACAUAUAUAUACAGACGGUAACUAUUCGUAGUGUUUGUUCUUUUUUCUUAGGUAAUCUUUAUUAUUCUCACCAAAACAACAAAACACACAAAGCAAAAGCAAAACUCAUGGGUAGCUCGCGGAAGCCGAGAUUUCUUCAUGAGUUAAAAAUGAAUGAAAUUUCAUCAAUCAUCAUGCUAUUGUAUUUAUCAUUCAUGCACCUAAACCGAUCCUCAAUGUUGUCUCAAACUUCACAA
This 304-nucleotide long non-coding RNA is filed under the name Brassica napus (rape). Its description in RNAcentral is "long non-coding RNA (BNAP_LNC023228)". Lineage: Eukaryota; Viridiplantae; Streptophyta; Magnoliopsida; Brassicales; Brassicaceae. The record is from RNAcentral.